CCCUUAGAUGUCCUGGGCCGCACGCGCGCUACACUGAGUGUCUGAGAUACGAGUCUGCCUGGUCCGGCAAGGUCUAGGUAAUCGCUAAAAGACACAUCAUGCUUGGGAUAGAUUAUUGCAAAUAUUAAUCUUGAACGAGGAAUUCCUAGUAAGCGCAAGUCAACAGCUUGCGUUGAUUACGUCCCUGCCCUUUGUACACACCGCCCGUCGCUACUACUGAUUGGAUGUUUAAGCGAGGUUCUCGAACUGCUAGCGACUUAGCUUCGGUGAGGUCGCAGUGUGGGAAGUGAACCUAGCUUUGGUGUCGAGAGGAAGUAAAAGUCGUAACA
Molecule: ribosomal RNA, 329 nt
Filed under: uncultured eukaryote
Lineage: Eukaryota
Description: partial 18S ribosomal RNA
Rfam family: Eukaryotic small subunit ribosomal RNA
Source: RNAcentral